Molecule: small nuclear RNA, 134 nt
Organism: Toxorhynchites rutilus septentrionalis
Lineage: Eukaryota; Metazoa; Arthropoda; Insecta; Diptera; Culicidae
Product: U4 spliceosomal RNA
Exons: 1
Source: RefSeq, a predicted model, not a curated record
AGUUUUGCGCAGUGGUGAUAGCCAAUGAGGUUUAUCCGAGGUGCGAUUAUUGCUAGUUGAAAACUAGACAAAAAUUCGAGACGUUGAUUUCUUAGAACAUAAGUAAAAAAGUUACAUUGAUGAAAAAGCAAGCG